CUCGUGGCAACGGCAUAGUAUCUCGUGCGCCAGAGAUAAAUAAAAAUGCACAAAUGUCACCUCUGUGCAACCUCAGAUAACCGAUCCAAGGACUUUGCCAUAAAUGAAAUUAAAUUCAAAGAUUUAAGAAAAUUAAGAUUAAUCAUGUAAUGUAAGACAACAUAUUAAAGUAUUAUUCAUUAAAUAGCCAGUAAUUCAUAACACAAUUUAAUGUAUGAACGUGUAGAACCUGUUUGAGGGCGUAUAUAGGAAUGUUUUCAAUAAUCCUUUAAAUUGUCAUGCAAUAUGGCCCGUAAGUCUCGUUUACUUUCACUUUCUAUUUACCACUUCCGGAUACAUCGGCAGACUUAUUUACCGUUACGCAUAUAGGUAACCCCGCAGAACUCGAGAAAUAUAGAAGUUAAAUUUGUUUCGGUCCUCUUCAGAUUUGAAGGAAUGGAAAACACGGGUCAAAAAAUGCAGGUAAGUCAAUUAUCUGACGGAAAACCGAGGAAUUUAUAAAGUUUAAUAAAACCAGUUUAUUUUCGGAUACUGACAAUUGUUUCGGAUGUUUUGUCAUGGUAGUGAAUUCUAGUUGUUUAGCUUUUAGUAUUAUUUUAAAACUACAAUUGUGAGAAAGUUAUUCCAUCCAUUUUAACUUAUUGAAAUAAACAAUGGAGAAACACUUUAAUUCUAGUGUAUUUUAAAGUUAUACAAAAUUCGGACAUUGCACAGUAAUUCGGAUAUUUCUUCCCUUCCAUUCUAUUAAGAUUUCAAUUACAUACAUUAGUAUAAUAAACCCCAGGUCCCAAGUAAAAGUUUUGAUAAUUAAAUAAUUAGAUGGAUAGAUCAUAGAUUUAUGCAAAGUUUAAUAGUAUUGUUACAUUUCUUACUAUGGGGAAUAGUAUCAAGGUACUUACACUUAUAUUCUCUUCCUGUUUCAAUUAUAUAUACUUGUUAAUAUGGUACCUAGCAAAUUAUGAUUGAAAAUUAAAAAAAAUAUCAUUUUUGAAUAAACCAUUUCAGAUGUGUAGACAGGGAGGUAUAUGACAAGUAUAGAAUAUAUAAAUGUUCACUAUGAACCAUAAAUCAACUGUUUGCACUGCCUAUGAUCCUGAAAUAUCUAUACAUCAAUGGAAAACAAUGAAGGAGAAUUUGCCCAUGAAGACCUUUAUUGCAACUAACAUCUUCCUGUUCUUAAUUUGAGAAUGAUAUUAGAGAACACACAGUUAUAGUGAAAUAUUAGUUUAAUAUAAGCCACUGAGAAUAGUCAAAUGUACUUUCCUGAAGAAGAUGAAUGACAUCCAGCACAAAAAUAUUAAUGUGACAGAGUAUGAUUUUAUGGUGUUUGACACUAUGAUACCAUAAUCUACUUAACUUGUUAAUGUCACAUUGAUAGAAACAGAGUGAAAUAUUCACAUUUCAUUGCAGUUUUAAGUAUUGAAGCAAGAUACUCUAUAAAUACCAAAGUAGAAAACACACCAGAUAUAAAGAUUUUCAUGGAAUCACAGUGACAGUAAAUGACUAUGAUGUAAAAAUGAAAAAGAAAUAGAAAAAAUGUUAUAUAUCAGCUACUACUUAUAUUGUGAGGUAAUCAUUGAUAAGCUCACAAAUUUGCAUUCAAAGCUUUGAUAUCAAGCUGACAAUUUUUCAAUUAGAAUAUGAUUUAUAACUCUAUGAUAAUUUGUUCAAUUAAAUUUUCAAAUUCUUUACAUUUGUAAAAGGAAAUAUUCUUAUUCUUGUAUCAGUAGACAUUUAUGGUUUAAAGUUCCAUUGUCCAAAUAAAUAAUAAUAAUUUCAAGUGCUUUCCUGAAGUUUUUCUUCCACUGGAAAAUCAGUGUGAUAUAUUUGCAAAGCAGUGCACUAUAAAUUGUGUAAAAAUAAGAGUUUUCAAACAUAUGAACUUAUUUUUUUUGUUUCUACUAUUUGGCAUAUAUUUAUAGCAGUGCUUGAUCAUAAGGGUUCAUCUGCAAAAUAAGUGCCACUGUGUACUUAAAUUAUCUAACAGAAAUGGCUAGAUUGCUUGAAUAUGCAAGCAUUGACUACAGUAAAUACUAUGCAUGUCAUUUUGUCUGUCAUGAAAUGGAAACAGACACUAUCUAAAUAAUAUUGAUGAAAAGUUCUUGACAGCUCUUCAAUGACUACAUUUACACAUAUGUACAUGGACAGAAGUUAAAAGAAUUGUGUGGGUUUUUUUUGAAACAUUGACAAUGUUGAAACAGUCCACAUUGGUAUAUUAAUGUACCAGUGAUGUACUUGUUUUGUAUCAAGUGCAAACUCUAAGUUUUGCAUGUUUUGUACAGAUAAUUCACUUUUGGCCAAAUGUCAACAGGUUCAAUACAUUAUAAAACAGGUAAUUUGAAACACAAAGAAGUAUAUGGUAUGUAAAUAACUGCCCCUCUUUCAAGGAAUGCAGAAUUGCAAGUCUUCUCCAAUUUUGUGAUAAAGAGACAGACUUGGGCUUUCUAGCAAACUAGUGUUUUGCUACAGAAUACUCAACGCAGAUGAAUUACAUUAAUAUUGUUUACUUUGGUAUUACUACCUGCCAUGUACAAUGCAAAUCAUGGCUUUUCUAAGAGCAGUGAAAGGCUAUAACUGGAAGUAAUUUUACUCAUCUUGCCUCAGAAACAAAUUUUUCUUUGAGAUGAUUUUUAUAAUAUUUAAUAAUGGUUAUAGAUUACAUUACUUUACAAUGGCAGUGAUCAUGGUGAUAGUAUGAAAUGAAACUCAAUCAAGAUAGCAACAUUUUAAUGCAGAACAUCUUUUUACCAUUCAUGUCACCUUACAAGUCUAUUUAUAAUAAAUUUAUCUUAACUGUU
Long non-coding RNA from Ruditapes philippinarum (Manila clam), 2798 nucleotides. RefSeq lists it as uncharacterized. The transcript has 2 exons. The record is from RefSeq and is a predicted model, not a curated record. Lineage: Eukaryota; Metazoa; Mollusca; Bivalvia; Venerida; Veneridae.